UCCGGUUUGUCACCGGCAGUCUCAUUAGAGUGCCCAACUGAAUGUAGCAACUAAUGACAAGGGUUGCGCUCGUUGCGGGACUUAACCCAACAUCUCACGACACGAGCUGACGACAGCCAUGCAGCACCUGUGUUACGGCUCUCUUUCGAGCACCCCCACCUCUCAGCAGGGUUCCGUACAUGUCAAGGGUAGGUAAGGUUUUUCGCGUUGCAUCGAAUUAAUCCACAUCAUCCACCGCUUGUGCGGGUCCCCGUCAAUUCCUUUGAGUUUUAAUCUUGCGACCGUACUCCCCAGGCGGUCGACUUCACGCGUUAGCUGCGGUACUCAAUGAGUCUCCUCACCGAACACCUAGUCGACAUCGUUUAGGGCGUGGACUAC
This 378-nucleotide unclassified non-coding RNA is filed under the name uncultured Gammaproteobacteria bacterium. RNAcentral's name for it is "contains 16S-23S intergenic spacer region". The record is from RNAcentral. Lineage: Bacteria; Pseudomonadati; Pseudomonadota; Gammaproteobacteria.